RNAcentral lists this ribosomal RNA (1343 nucleotides) under uncultured bacterium. RNAcentral describes it as "16S ribosomal RNA". It matches the Rfam family "Bacterial small subunit ribosomal RNA", at positions 28 to 1378 of the family's 1533-position model. The record is from RNAcentral.
GACGAACGCUGGCGGCGUGCUUAACACAUGCAAGUCGAACGGAAAGGCCCUGCUUUUGUGGGGUGCUCGAGUGGCGAACGGGUGAGUAACACGUGAGUAACCUGCCCUUGACUUUGGGAUAACUUCAGGAAACUGGGGCUAAUACCGGAUAGGAGCUCCUGCUGCAUGGUGGGGGUUGGAAAGUUUCGGCGGUUGGGGAUGGACUCGCGGCUUAUCAGCUUGUUGGUGGGGUAGUGGCUUACCAAGGCUUUGACGGGUAGCCGGCCUGAGAGGGUGACCGGCCACAUUGGGACUGAGAUACGGCCCGGACUCCUACGGGAGGCAGCAGUGGGGAAUAUUGCACAAUGGGCGGAAGCCUGAUGCAGCAACGCCGCGUGCGGGAUGACGGCCUUCGAGUUGUAAACCGCUUUCGCCUGUGACGAAGCGUGAGUGACGGUAAUGGGUAAAGAAGCACCGGCUAACUACGUGCCAGCAGCCGCGGUGAUACGUAGGGUGCGAGCGUUGUCCGGAUUUAUUGGGCGUAAAGGGCUCGUAGGUGGUUGAUCGCGUCGGAAGUGUAAUCUUGGGGCUUAACCCUGAGCGUGCUUUCGAUACGGGUUGACUUGAGGAAGGUAGGGGAGAAUGGAAUUCCUGGUGGAGCGGUGGAAUGCGCAGAUAUCAGGAGGAACACCAGUGGCGAAGGCGGUUCUCUGGGCCUUUCCUGACGCUGAGGAGCGAAAGCGUGGGGAGCGAACAGGCUUAGAUACCCUGGUAGUCCACGCUGUAAACGGUGGGUACUAGGUGUGGGGUCCAUUCCACGGGUUCCGUGCCGUAGCUAACGCUUUAAGUACCCCGCCUGGGGAGUACGGCCGCAAGGCUAAAACUCAAAGGAAUUGACGGGGCCCCGCACAAGCGGCGGAGCAUGCGGAUUAAUUCGAUGCAACGCGUAGAACCUUACCUGGGUUUGACAUGGGUCGGGAGUGCUCAGAGAUGGGUGUGCCUCUUUUGGGGUCGGUUCACAGGUGGUGCGUGGCUGUCGUCAGCUCGUGUCGUGAGAUGUUGGGUUAAGUCCCGCAACGAGCGCAACCCUUGUUCACUGUUGCCAGCACGUUAUGGUGGGGACUCAGUGGAGACCGCCGGGGUCAACUCGGAGGAAGGUGGGGAUGACGUCAAGUCAUCAUGCCCCUUAUGUCCAGGGCUUCACGCAUGCUACAAUGGCUGGUACAGAGAGUGGCGAGCCUGUGAGGGUGAGCGAAUCUCGGAAAGCCGGUCUCAGUUCGGAUUGGGGUCUGCAACUCGACCUCAUGAAGUCGGAGUCGCUAGUAAUCGCAGAUCAGCAACGCUGCGGUGAAUACGUUCCCGGG